Molecule: transfer RNA, 66 nt
Filed under: Stolephorus commersonnii (Commerson's anchovy)
Lineage: Eukaryota; Metazoa; Chordata; Actinopteri; Clupeiformes; Engraulidae
Description: tRNA-Cys
Rfam family: tRNA
About the family: Transfer RNA (tRNA) molecules are approximately 80 nucleotides in length.
Source: RNAcentral
AGCUCUGUGGUGAAGUUCAUAUCGGGUUGCAACUCCGAAGACGCAGGUGACCACCUGCCGGGGCUU